Molecule: ribosomal RNA, 1529 nt
Filed under: Bacteroides fragilis
Lineage: Bacteria; Pseudomonadati; Bacteroidota; Bacteroidia; Bacteroidales; Bacteroidaceae
Description: bacterial SSU rRNA
Rfam family: Bacterial small subunit ribosomal RNA
Source: RNAcentral
ACAAUGAAGAGUUUGAUCCUGGCUCAGGAUGAACGCUAGCUACAGGCUUAACACAUGCAAGUCGAGGGGCAUCAGGAAGAAAGCUUGCUUUCUUUGCUGGCGACCGGCGCACGGGUGAGUAACACGUAUCCAACCUGCCCUUUACUCGGGGAUAGCCUUUCGAAAGAAAGAUUAAUACCCGAUAGCAUAAUGAUUCCGCAUGGUUUCAUUAUUAAAGGAUUCCGGUAAAGGAUGGGGAUGCGUUCCAUUAGGUUGUUGGUGAGGUAACGGCCCACCAAGCCUUCGAUGGAUAGGGGUUCUGAGAGGAAGGUCCCCCACAUUGGAACUGAGACACGGUCCAAACUCCUACGGGAGGCAGCAGUGAGGAAUAUUGGUCAAUGGGCGCUAGCCUGAACCAGCCAAGUAGCGUGAAGGAUGAAGGCUCUAUGGGUCGUAAACUUCUUUUAUAUAAGAAUAAAGUGCAGUAUGUAUACUGUUUUGUAUGUAUUAUAUGAAUAAGGAUCGGCUAACUCCGUGCCAGCAGCCGCGGUAAUACGGAGGAUCCGAGCGUUAUCCGGAUUUAUUGGGUUUAAAGGGAGCGUAGGUGGACUGGUAAGUCAGUUGUGAAAGUUUGCGGCUCAACCGUAAAAUUGCAGUUGAUACUGUCAGUCUUGAGUACAGUAGAGGUGGGCGGAAUUCGUGGUGUAGCGGUGAAAUGCUUAGAUAUCACGAAGAACUCCGAUUGCGAAGGCAGCUCACUGGACUGCAACUGACACUGAUGCUCGAAAGUGUGGGUAUCAAACAGGAUUAGAUACCCUGGUAGUCCACACAGUAAACGAUGAAUACUCGCUGUUUGCGAUAUACAGUAAGCGGCCAAGCGAAAGCAUUAAGUAUUCCACCUGGGGAGUACGCCGGCAACGGUGAAACUCAAAGGAAUUGACGGGGGCCCGCACAAGCGGAGGAACAUGUGGUUUAAUUCGAUGAUACGCGAGGAACCUUACCCGGGCUUAAAUUGCAGUGGAAUGAUGUGGAAACAUGUCAGUGAGCAAUCACCGCUGUGAAGGUGCUGCAUGGUUGUCGUCAGCUCGUGCCGUGAGGUGUCGGCUUAAGUGCCAUAACGAGCGCAACCCUUAUCUUCAGUUACUAACAGGUCAUGCUGAGGACUCUGGAGAGACUGCCGUCGUAAGAUGUGAGGAAGGUGGGGAUGACGUCAAAUCAGCACGGCCCUUACGUCCGGGGCUACACACGUGUUACAAUGGGGGGUACAGAAGGCAGCUAGCGGGUGACCGUAUGCUAAUCCCAAAAUCCUCUCUCAGUUCGGAUCGAAGUCUGCAACCCGACUUCGUGAAGCUGGAUUCGCUAGUAAUCGCGCAUCAGCCACGGCGCGGUGAAUACGUUCCCGGGCCUUGUACACACCGCCCGUCAAGCCAUGGGAGCCGGGGGUACCUGAAGUACGUAACCGCAAGGAUCGUCCUAGGGUAAAACUGGUGACUGGGGCUAAGUCGUAACAAGGUAGCCGUACCGGAAGGUGCGGCUGGAACACCUCCUUU